GCCUACGGGAGGCAGCAGUGAGGAAUAUUAGUCAAUGGGCUUACGCCUGAACCAGCCAAGUCGCGUGAGGGAAGACUGCCCUAUGGGUUGUAAACCUCUUUUGUCAGGGAGCAACGCCGGCUACGUGUGGCCGGACUGAGAGUACCUGAAGAAAAAGCAUCGGCUAACUCCGUGCCAGCAGCCGCGGUAAUACGGAGGAUGCGAGCGUUAUCCGGAUUUAUUGGGUUUAAAGGGUGCGUAGGCGGAAUGCCAAGUCAGCGGUAAAAUCGCGGGGCUCAACCUCGCUUCGCCGUUGAAACUGGCGU
Molecule: ribosomal RNA, 305 nt
Filed under: uncultured bacterium
Lineage: Bacteria
Description: bacterial SSU rRNA
Rfam family: Bacterial small subunit ribosomal RNA
Source: RNAcentral